GACGAACGCUGGCGGCGUGCUUAACACAUGCAAGUCGAACGGAAAGGCCCUGCUCUUGUGGGGUGCUCGAGUGGCGAACGGGUGAGUAACACGUGAGUAACCUGCCCUUGACUUUGGGAUAACUUCAGGAAACUCGGGCUAAUAUCGGGUAUGAGCUCCUGCUGCAUGGUGGGGGUUGGAAAGUUUCGGCGGUUGGGGAUGGACUCGCGGUUUAUCAGCUUGUUGGUGGGGUAGUGGCUUACCAAGGCUUUGACGGGUAGCCGGCCUGAGAGGGUGACCGGCCACAUUGGGAUUGAGAUAGCGCCCAGACUCAUACGGGAGGCAGCAGUGGGGGAUAUUGCAAAAUGGGCGGAAGCCGGAUGGAGCAACGCCGCGUGCGGGAUGACGGCCGUCGGGUUGUAAACCGCUUUCGCCUGUGACGAAGCGUGAGUGACGGUAAUGGGUAAAGAAGCACCGGCUAACUACGUG
RNAcentral lists this ribosomal RNA (468 nucleotides) under uncultured bacterium. Its description in RNAcentral is "partial 16S ribosomal RNA". It matches the Rfam family "Bacterial small subunit ribosomal RNA", at positions 28 to 507 of the family's 1533-position model. The record is from RNAcentral.